UAGCUCAGUUGGUAGAGUGCUUGCCUCAUAUGCACAAGGCCCUGGGUUCAAUCCCCAG
RNAcentral lists this transfer RNA (58 nucleotides) under Marmota marmota marmota (Alpine marmot). It matches the Rfam family "tRNA", at positions 8 to 63 of the family's 71-position model. From Rfam's summary of the family: Transfer RNA (tRNA) molecules are approximately 80 nucleotides in length. Their secondary structure includes four short double-helical elements and three loops (D, anti-codon, and T loops). Further hydrogen bonds mediate the characteristic L-shaped molecular structure. tRNAs have two regions of fundamental functional importance: the anti-codon, which is responsible for specific mRNA codon recognition, and the 3' end, to which the tRNAs corresponding amino acid is attached (by aminoacyl-tRNA synthetases). tRNAs cope with the degeneracy of the genetic code in two manners: having more than one tRNA (with a specific anti-codon) for a particular amino acid; and 'wobble' base-pairing, i.e. permitting non-standard base-pairing at the 3rd anti-codon position. The record is from Rfam by way of RNAcentral. Lineage: Eukaryota; Metazoa; Chordata; Mammalia; Rodentia; Sciuridae. RNAcentral also lists the same sequence under 6 other names.